RNAcentral lists this long non-coding RNA (874 nucleotides) under Gossypium barbadense (sea-island cotton). RNAcentral's name for it is "long non-coding RNA (GBAR_LNC019720)". Lineage: Eukaryota; Viridiplantae; Streptophyta; Magnoliopsida; Malvales; Malvaceae. The record is from RNAcentral.
UUUACAGAACGCAAGAAAAAAAGAAAAAAUAAAGGGAAACCCCUCCUCUGCUAGGGUUCCAAGAUUGAAACCCCGCCGCCGCCAUGCCUUCGCUGUCCGGUGAUCGGAGCUGUGCGAAGAAGGCUCCUAUCGGCGCCUUGAAACGCGCUCAUGGGACGAGGCCAUAGAACGAAGAGACGAGGGGAAAGAGAAGAACUUCGGCCCCUCCUUGAACCCACAUCCGGCGACGGCGAAUCACCAUCGACGGCGGGCCUAGGGGCCGAUUCAGGUAACCUUCUUUUUUUCCUUUUUUUAUUUUUUAAUUACUUUUAAAUAGAUUUGAAAUAAAAGAAAAGAAAAGAAAAAUAAAAACUAUCAAAAAGAGAACGAAGAGAACAAUUUUUUUAAAAGAAGAACAACCUUUUUCAAAUCUUAGUUCUGUAUUUGAUUUUUGAUGUAUGUCUUUUACAACGAAAAAUCCCAGAAGAAGCAAUACAAUAAAACGUUCGGCCUUUUAUAGCCGGAUUACAACUUUUCUAUUUUAUUUCUCGUCGUUUCUCGUGCGUUGUUCUUUUUGCAGGUGAUGGCAGGGAGGUGUCACGCGUGAAGGAAGCCUGGCGCGCAUGCGGUGGUUGUGGCAAACGAGGAGGCUAGCGGCACACAUGCUUAGGGGAGGCAACUAGGGUUUGCUUCUGCCGAAAAUGUUAAAGUCAUAUGGGCUAGGGUUUUUUAAUUUUGGGCCCAUUUGUGAUUGGGUUAUUAUUUGUAUUUUCUGGACUAUUUGUGUUUGGAUUUUGGGCUUCCGAGUUUUGGGCCCCGGGCAAAAUUAGGUUUCUACAGAUAUUAUGAAUAAAUCAAGUACCCAACAUAUCAACUUUCGAUCUAUUACUUUAAG